GAAGACUUGCUGGAUUUUAUGGUGAGGGAGUUGGUUAGUUAGUUUUGAGGAGAUGGGGGAGGGAGGGGUCUGUGCGACGGCGAAAUUGUGGUGGUCGUUGGUUGCUGUUGGUGAGAAAGGGAGUAGGCAUCGCUGGGUGUUGCUGGUCGGCGACGAAUUUGAGAGGAAGUUGGGGUGGCGGUUGUUGCUUCUUUUAGGGGUUCAAGGGUU
Molecule: long non-coding RNA, 210 nt
Filed under: Nicotiana benthamiana
Lineage: Eukaryota; Viridiplantae; Streptophyta; Magnoliopsida; Solanales; Solanaceae
Description: long non-coding RNA (NBEN_LNC013542)
Source: RNAcentral